This 109-nucleotide transfer RNA is filed under the name Herelleviridae sp. RNAcentral's name for it is "tRNA-OTHER". It matches the Rfam family "tRNA". From Rfam's summary of the family: Transfer RNA (tRNA) molecules are approximately 80 nucleotides in length. Their secondary structure includes four short double-helical elements and three loops (D, anti-codon, and T loops). The record is from RNAcentral. Lineage: Duplodnaviria; Heunggongvirae; Uroviricota; Caudoviricetes; Herelleviridae.
AGACAUAUAGCAUAGCUGGCAAGUGCAACCCUCUAUGUAGCCGUUUCGUGAAUACGAAAGCAGACGCAAUGAGUGUGUAGACGGUGGUUCGAGUCCACCUAUGUCUCUA